Molecule: ribosomal RNA, 253 nt
Filed under: uncultured bacterium
Lineage: Bacteria
Description: partial 16S ribosomal RNA
Rfam family: Bacterial small subunit ribosomal RNA
Source: RNAcentral
UACGGAGGGUGCAAGCGUUAUCCGGAUUUACUGGGUUUAAAGGGUGCGUAGGCGGAUAGGUAAGUCAGGGGUGAAAUCUUCGAGCUUAACUCGGAAAUUGCCUUUGAUACUAUCUAUCUUGAAUAUUGUGGAGGUAAGCGGAAUAUGUCAUGUAGCGGUGAAAUGCUUAGAUAUGACAUAGAACACCCAUUGCGAAGGCAGCUUACUACGCAUAUAUUGACGCUGAGGCACGAAAGCGUGGGGAUCAAACAGG